GCGGGCAUAGUUUAGUGGUAAAACCUUAGCCUUCCAAGCUAAUGAUGGGAGUUCGAUUCUCCCUGCUCGCU
This 71-nucleotide transfer RNA is filed under the name Actinocyclus sp. (in: diatoms). RNAcentral describes it as "Actinocyclus sp. (in: Bacillariophyta) tRNA-Gly". It matches the Rfam family "tRNA". Rfam says of the family: Transfer RNA (tRNA) molecules are approximately 80 nucleotides in length. Lineage: Eukaryota; Bacillariophyta; Coscinodiscophyceae; Coscinodiscales; Hemidiscaceae. The record is from RNAcentral.